RNAcentral lists this ribosomal RNA (406 nucleotides) under uncultured bacterium. Its description in RNAcentral is "partial 16S ribosomal RNA". It matches the Rfam family "Bacterial small subunit ribosomal RNA", at positions 30 to 526 of the family's 1533-position model. The record is from RNAcentral.
AUUGAACGCUGGCGGCAGGCCUAACACCUGCCAGUCGAACGUGUGGCGGCCGGGUGAGUUAUGUCUGGGUAGCUGCCUGAUGGAGGGGGAUAACUACUGGCCACGGUAGCUAAUAUCGCAUACCAUCAGAUGUGCCCAGAUGGGAUUAGCUUGUGGGUGGGGUAACGGCGCAACAAGGCGACGACCCCUAGCUGGUCUGAGAUGAGGACCAGCCACACUGGAACUGAGACACGGUCCAGACUCCUACGGCAGGCAGCGAUGGGGAAUAUUGCACAAUGGGCGCAAGCCUGAUGCAGCCAGGCCGCGGGUAUGAAGAAGGCCUUCGGGUGGUAAAGUACUGUCAGCGGGGAGGCGUUACCCGCAGGAGAAGCACCGGCUAACUCCGUGCCAGCAGCCGCGGUAAUUC